CCUACGGGCGGCAGCAGUGAGGAAUAUUGGUCAAUGGACGAGAGUCUGAACCAGCCAAGUAGCGUGAAGGAUGACUGCCCUAUGGGUUGUAAACUUCUUUUAUAUGGGAAUAAAAUGUUCCACGUGUGGGAUUUUGUAUGUACCAUAUGAAUAAGGAUCGGCUAACUCCGUGCCAGCAGCCGCGGUAAUACGGAGGAGCCGAGCGUUAUCCGGAUUUAUUGGGUUUAAAGGGAGCGUAGGUGGAUUGUUAAGUCAGUUGUGAAAGUUUGCGGCUCAACCGUAAAAUUGCAGUUGAAACUGGCAGUCUUGAGUACAGUAGAGGUGGGCGGAAUUCGUGGUGUAGCGGUGAAAUGCUUAGAUAUCACGAAGAAUUCCGAUUGCGAAGGCAGUUCACUGGACUGCAACUGACACUGAGGCUCGAAAGUGUGGGUAUCAAACAGGAUUAGAUACCCUAGUAGUC
Molecule: ribosomal RNA, 460 nt
Filed under: uncultured bacterium
Lineage: Bacteria
Description: partial 16S ribosomal RNA
Rfam family: Bacterial small subunit ribosomal RNA
Source: RNAcentral